AUUGAACGCUGGCGGCAGGCCUAACACAUGCAAGUCGAGCGGAAGAAGGGAGCUUGCUCCUGGAUUCAGGGGCGGACGGGUGAGUAAUGCCUAGGAAUCUGCCUGCUAGUGGGGGAUAACGCCCGGAAACGGGCGCUAAUACAGCAUACGUGCUGAGGGUGAAGGUAGGGGUUCUUCGGACCUCACGCGACCAGAUGAUCCUAGGUCGGAUUAGCUAGUUGGUGGGGUAAAGGCCUACCAAGGCGACGAUCCGUAACUGGUCUGAGAGGAUGAUCAGUCACACUGGAACUGAGACACGGUCCAGACUCCUACGGGCAGUCGCAGUCUACAAUAUUCGACUCCGGUCGAAAGUUUGAUCCAGGCACAGCCUGUGUGUGCAGAAAGUCUUGGGGCUGUUAAGAAGCAUACCAAGGGAGCAAGCUCAGUAGGUUUAGGGGUUGCUGUAUUGACGUUACCAAGAGAAUAAGCCCCGGCUAACUUUGUU
RNAcentral lists this ribosomal RNA (484 nucleotides) under uncultured bacterium. RNAcentral describes it as "partial 16S ribosomal RNA". It matches the Rfam family "Bacterial small subunit ribosomal RNA", at positions 30 to 507 of the family's 1533-position model. The record is from RNAcentral.